GAGAGGUAAAGGCAUCACGGGCUAGAGUUUGGACCGAUUUGAGGCAUUUCUGAAUCCGAUAGCGGGUGCUGAUUGCUUAGUGGCAGAGUCAUCAGAGUUAGAGAGAUUUAGGCAUUUCUAAAUCUGAUAGCGGGUGCUGAUUGUUUAGUGGCAGAGUCAUCGGAGUUAGCGAGGUAGCUGCCCGACGUUCGCAGCACUGCUUUUCUCCCUCUUGUC
Molecule: long non-coding RNA, 216 nt
Organism: Nicotiana tabacum (common tobacco)
Lineage: Eukaryota; Viridiplantae; Streptophyta; Magnoliopsida; Solanales; Solanaceae
Source: RefSeq, a predicted model, not a curated record